RNAcentral lists this ribosomal RNA (480 nucleotides) under uncultured bacterium. RNAcentral's name for it is "partial 16S ribosomal RNA". It matches the Rfam family "Bacterial small subunit ribosomal RNA", at positions 28 to 507 of the family's 1533-position model. The record is from RNAcentral.
GACGAACGCUGGCGGCGUGCUUAACACAUGCCAGUCGAACGAUGAACCUCGAACUGAUUUCUUCGGAAAGAUUUUUGAGAGGAUUAGUGGCGAACGGGUGAGUAACGCGUGAGCAACCUGCCUUAGACAAGGGGAUAGCCUCGGGAAACCGUGAUUAAUACCCUAUGAGACUCCACUUACGAGUGUAAGAGAAGUUAAAGCUAUUGCGGUCUAAGAUGGGCUCGCGUCUGAUUAGCUAGUUGGUGAGAUAAAAGCCCACCAAGGCGACGAUCAGUAACCGGCUUGAGAGAGUGAACGGUCACAUUGGAACUGAGACACGGUCCAAACUCCUACGGGAGGCAGCAGUGGGGAAUAUUGCACAAGGGGGGCAACCCUGAUGCAGCGACGCCGCGUGAGCGAUGAAGGAAUUCGUUUCGUAAAGCUCUGUCCUUGGAGAAGAUAAUGACGGUAACCAAGGAGGAAGCACCGGCUAAAUACGUG